UCCUGUUGCUUCUCCUCCCACUACAAAUGCUGACCAAAAGCAAUAUUUCUUCGUACUUCAGGGACUCAGCAGGCAACAGGACCUCCAAUCCUCUCCAGGUGAGAGUGGAUAGAGGCCCUGGGCAAGAGGAACCAGCAUCUUGCUUCUGUUUCUCUUGAGAAAUGGCUGCCCACCUGUCCUGCCUUACUUCUCUGUGGAUGAGUCUGUGUUUGUAGGUUGAGCUUGUCCAGUCAAACAGCCCUUUCCAGGUAACUCAGAAAGCAGUGGACACUGUGGCUGCCUGGAGCACCUGUGUCAUUUAUUGACAGUCAGAGAAGACUGGGUAGCUUUUCUGAUGUCUCAGGGUUGACAAGAAGUGGAACAAAACUCAAACUCAAGUUUAAUAAUUCUAAUUCCAUGCACUGUGUUUACCCAUGCCAAAGAAAACACUUCUUCUACAAGCAUCCCCUGGUACUUAAAUCUCAAAGUGGGUUAAUCUGAGUGAGAUGAGUUAUCUGCUCUCUAACCGUCAUAACAAAAUGAUAGAACUGCCCACUCUGACUCACAUCUGGUAUUUUAAAAACCAACAAAAAGGAUGAGAAUGAGCCCAACAACAAAGAUUUCUCUGCUUUAGGUUAGAAAGAGAAAACAUUAUUGACUGGGAUCCACCACCUACCAGGGACUUUGGUGAAUUAUUCACUAAAGAGUCUAUUUGACAUAUUUCCCAUUCAUUCAUCCAGGUUCCCAAAGUUUUAUUCAUAUAAUUCUUAGAUUAUUGAAAAGUAAGAAACCUAAAAUUAUUAAUUCAGUUGACAUA
Sciurus carolinensis (gray squirrel) is the source of this 796-nucleotide long non-coding RNA. RefSeq lists it as uncharacterized. The transcript has 3 exons. Lineage: Eukaryota; Metazoa; Chordata; Mammalia; Rodentia; Sciuridae. The record is from RefSeq and is a predicted model, not a curated record.